This 700-nucleotide ribosomal RNA is filed under the name Pseudoalteromonas sp. Rep_1_1. RNAcentral's name for it is "bacterial SSU rRNA". It matches the Rfam family "Bacterial small subunit ribosomal RNA", at positions 65 to 760 of the family's 1533-position model. Lineage: Bacteria; Pseudomonadati; Pseudomonadota; Gammaproteobacteria; Alteromonadales; Pseudoalteromonadaceae. The record is from RNAcentral.
AACGAAGAGGAGCUUGCUCCUUUGGCGUCGAGCGGCGGACGGGUGAGUAAUGCUUGGGAAUGUGCCUUAUGGUGGGGGACAACAGUUGGAAACGACUGCUAAUACCGCAUAAUGUCUUCGGACCAAAGUGGGGGACCUUCGGGCCUCACGCCAUAAGAUCAGCCCAAGUGGGAUUAGCUAGUUGGUAAGGUAAUGGCUUACCAAGGCGACGAUCCCUAGCUGGUUUGAGAGGAUGAUCAGCCACACUGGGACUGAGACACGGCCCAGACUCCUACGGGAGGCAGCAGUGGGGAAUAUUGCACAAUGGGCGCAAGCCUGAUGCAGCCAUGCCGCGUGUGUGAAGAAGGCCUUCGGGUUGUAAAGCACUUUCAGUAAGGAGGAAAGGUUAAGUGUUAAUAGCACUUAGCUGUGACGUUACUUACAGAAGAAGCACCGGCUAACUCCGUGCCAGCAGCCGCGGUAAUACGGAGGGUGCGAGCGUUAAUCGGAAUUACUGGGCGUAAAGCGUACGCAGGCGGUUUGUUAAGCGAGAUGUGAAAGCCCCGGGCUCAACCUGGGAACUGCAUUUCGAACUGGCAAACUAGAGUGUGAUAGAGGGUGGUAGAAUUUCAGGUGUAGCGGUGAAAUGCGUAGAGAUCUGAAGGAAUACCGAUGGCGAAGGCAGCCACCUGGGUCAACACUGACGCUCAUGUACGAAAGC